CAGCAGCCGCGGUAAUACGAGGGGGGCAAGCGUUGUUCGGAAUUAUUGGGCGUAAAGGGCGCGUAGGCGGUUUGGCAAGUUUGGUGUGAAAUCUUCGGGCUCAACUCGAAGUCUGCAUCGAAAACUGCCGGGCUUGAGUAUGGGAGAGGUGAGUGGAAUUUCCGGUGUAGCGGUGAAAUGCGUAGAUAUCGGAAGGAACACCUGUGGCGAAAGCGGCUCACUGGACCAUAACUGACGCUGAGGCGCGAAAGCUAGGGGAGCAAACAGGAUUAGAUACCCCUGUAGUCCCUGUCUCUUAUAC
This 301-nucleotide ribosomal RNA is filed under the name uncultured bacterium. Its description in RNAcentral is "partial 16S ribosomal RNA". It matches the Rfam family "Bacterial small subunit ribosomal RNA", at positions 509 to 807 of the family's 1533-position model. The record is from RNAcentral.